RNAcentral lists this ribosomal RNA (401 nucleotides) under uncultured bacterium. RNAcentral's name for it is "bacterial SSU rRNA". It matches the Rfam family "Bacterial small subunit ribosomal RNA", at positions 975 to 1375 of the family's 1533-position model. The record is from RNAcentral.
CAGGUCUUGACAUCCCACUGACUGGCUUAGAGAUAGGCUUUUCCCUUCGGGGACAGUGGUGACAGGUGGUGCAUGGUUGUCGUCAGCUCGUGUCGUGGGAUGUUGGGUUAAGUCCCGCAACGAGCGCAACCCUUGAUCUUAGUUGCCAGCAUUCAGUUGGGCACUCUAAGGUGACUGCCGGUGAUAAACCGGAGGAAGGUGGGGAUGACGUCAAAUCAUCAUGCCCCUUAUGACCUGGGCUACACACGUGCUACAAUGGACGAUACAAAGGGCUGCAAACCCGCGAGGGGGAGCCAAUCCCAUAAAAUCGUUCUCAGUUCGGAUUGUAGGCUGCAACUCGCCUACAUGAAGCCGGAAUCGCUAGUAAUCGUGGAUCAGCAUGCCACGGUGAAUACGUUCCC